UACGUAGGGGGCAAGCGUUGUCCGGAAUCAUUGGGCGUAAGGCGCGUGUAGGCGGCUCGGUAAGUCCGCUCUGAAAGCCCGGGGCUCAACCCCGGGAGGCGGGUGGAUACUGCUGAGCUCGAGUCCGGAAGAGGAGUGUGGAAUUCCUGGUGUAGCGGUGAAAUGCGCAGAUAUCAGGAGGAACACCAAUGGCGAAGGCAGCACUCUGGGACGGUACUGACGCUGAGACGCGAAAGCGUGGGGAGCAAACAGG
This 253-nucleotide ribosomal RNA is filed under the name uncultured bacterium. RNAcentral describes it as "partial 16S ribosomal RNA". It matches the Rfam family "Bacterial small subunit ribosomal RNA", at positions 524 to 776 of the family's 1533-position model. The record is from RNAcentral.